RNAcentral lists this ribosomal RNA (480 nucleotides) under uncultured bacterium. RNAcentral's name for it is "bacterial SSU rRNA". It matches the Rfam family "Bacterial small subunit ribosomal RNA", at positions 8 to 507 of the family's 1533-position model. The record is from RNAcentral.
AGAGUUUGAUCCUGGCUCAGGAUCAACGCUGGCGGCGUGCAUGAGACAUGCAAGUCAUACGGACGAUCAAAGCUUGCUUUGUUCGUUAGUGGCGGACGGGCUGAGUAACGCGUGGGUGACCUGCCCCGAAGUGGGGAAUAACUGCCCGAAAGGGUGGCUAAUACCGCAUGUGGUGGUGUAUUCGAUUACACCAGUAAAGCCGCAAGGCGCUUCGGAGGGGCCUGCGUACGAUUAGCUCGUUGGUGAGGUAACGGCUCACCAAGGCGACGAUCGUUAGGUGGUCUGAGAGGACGAUCACCCAGACUGGGACUGAGACACGGCCCAGACUCCUACGGGAGGCAGCAGUCGGGAAUUUUGCGCAAUGGACGAAAGUCUGACGCAGCAACGCCGCGUGAGGGAUGAAGGCCUUCGGGUUGUAAACCUCUUUUCUCAGGGAAGAUAAUGACGGUACCUGAGGAAUAAGCCACGGCUAACUACGUG